GCUGAACUUAAGCAUAUCAAUAAGCGGAGGAGAAGAAACUAACAAGGAUUCCCCUAGUAACGGCGAGCGAAGCGGGAAGAGCUCAAAUUUGAAAGCUGGCACCUUCGGUGUCCGCGUUGUAAUCUCGAGACGUGUUUUCCGUGUGGCGCUAUGGACAAGUCCCUUGGAACAGGGCAUCGUAGAGGGUGAAAAUCCCGUACUUGCCAUGGCUGUACCAUGCUUUGUGAUACACGCUCUAAGAGUCGAGUUGUUUGGGAUUGCAGCUCAAAAUGGGUGGUAGACUCCAUCUAAAGCUAAAUAUCGGGGAGAGACCGAUAGCGAACAAGUACCGUGAGGGAAAGAUGAAAAGCACUUUGGAAAGAGAGUUAAAAGUACGUGAAAUUGUCGAAAGGGAAGCGCUUGAAGUCAGCCAUGCUGCUUGAGACUCAGCCUUGCUUUUGCUUGGUGUAUUUCUCGGUAGCAAGCCAGCAUUGGUUCGAGUCGUCGGAGAAGGGUAUGAGAAAUGUGGCAUCCUCGGAUGUGUUAUAGACUUGUACUGGAUACGACGAUUUGGAUCAAGGAACGCAGUGUGCCUCUGGCGGGUCUUCGGACACCUUCACACUUAGGAUGCUGGCGUAAUGGCUU
This 624-nucleotide ribosomal RNA is filed under the name Malassezia pachydermatis. RNAcentral's name for it is "eukaryotic LSU rRNA". It matches the Rfam family "Eukaryotic large subunit ribosomal RNA", at positions 27 to 640 of the family's 3401-position model. Lineage: Eukaryota; Fungi; Basidiomycota; Malasseziomycetes; Malasseziales; Malasseziaceae. The record is from RNAcentral.